RNAcentral lists this transfer RNA (86 nucleotides) under Eustigmatophyceae sp. Mont 10/10-1w. Its description in RNAcentral is "tRNA-Ile". It matches the Rfam family "tRNA". Rfam says of the family: Transfer RNA (tRNA) molecules are approximately 80 nucleotides in length. Their secondary structure includes four short double-helical elements and three loops (D, anti-codon, and T loops). The record is from RNAcentral. Lineage: Eukaryota; Eustigmatophyceae.
GCAUCUGUGGCCGAGUGGUCGAAGGCAGCGGACUCAUAAUCCGUUUUCAUUACUGAACGUCACUGGUUCGAACCCAGUCGGAUGCA